AAGCUCGUAGUUGGAUUUCUGUUAAUAAUUUAUAUAUAAUAUUUGAUUAAUAUUUAUAUAAUAUUAACAUAAUUCAUAUUACUAAAUUUAUUAGUAUAUGAAAUUUUACUUUGAGAAAAUUAGAGUGCUUAAAGCAGGCAUAUGCCUUGAAUACUCCAGCAUGGAAUAAUAUUAAAGAUUUUUAUCUUUCUUAUUGGUUCUAAGAUAAAAAUAAUGAUUAAUAGGGACAGUUGGGGGCAUUUGUAUUUAACAGUCAGAGGUGAAAUUCUUAGAUUUGUUAAAGACAAACUAAUGCGAAAGCAUUUGCCAAGGAUGUUUUCAUUAAUCAAGAACGAAAGUUAGGGGAUCGAAGACGAUCAGAUACCGUCGUAGUCUUAACCAUAAACUAUGCCAACUAGAGAUUGGAGGUUGUUCCUUACUCCUUCAGCACCUU
RNAcentral lists this ribosomal RNA (433 nucleotides) under Cryptosporidium meleagridis. Its description in RNAcentral is "SSU rRNA". It matches the Rfam family "Eukaryotic small subunit ribosomal RNA", at positions 624 to 1089 of the family's 1831-position model. Lineage: Eukaryota; Apicomplexa; Conoidasida; Eucoccidiorida; Cryptosporidiidae. The record is from RNAcentral.